GGGAAGUCUGGUGUAACAUCAGAGACAAGAAGGCUGUGAGGAUGUGAGAAUGGACAUGAAGCACCUGGAACAUUCCUUACAAAUCCUGCACCAACACCACUAAUGAAGAGAAGUUGAAUGGAGAUAAAACAGGAGGUGCCAGCAUUAUGGGAUGGCGGUGUAAGCUCUGCACAUUUGUCGUAUCAUCAAAAGGAAUUUUGAUCAUUAUCGAG
Molecule: long non-coding RNA, 212 nt
Organism: Clarias gariepinus (North African catfish)
Lineage: Eukaryota; Metazoa; Chordata; Actinopteri; Siluriformes; Clariidae
Exons: 3
Source: RefSeq, a predicted model, not a curated record